Molecule: ribosomal RNA, 509 nt
Filed under: uncultured bacterium
Lineage: Bacteria
Description: bacterial SSU rRNA
Rfam family: Bacterial small subunit ribosomal RNA
Source: RNAcentral
UAGUCCACGCCGUAAACGAUGAUCACUCGCUGUCUGCGAUACACAGUAGGCGGCUGAGCGAAAGCAUUAAGUGAUCCACCUGGGGAGUACGAUCGCAAGGUUGAAACUCAAAGGAAUUGACGGGGGCCCGCACAAGCGGAGGAACAUGUGGUUUAAUUCGAUGAUACGCGAGGAACCUUACCUGGACUUAAAUGUAGGAUGCAUAAGGUGGAAACACUUUUUUCCUUCGGGACUUCUUACAAGGUGCUGCAUGGUUGUCGUCAGCUCGUGCCGUGAGGUGUCGGGUUAAGUCCCAUAACGAGCGCAACCCCUAUUGUUAGUUGCCAGCGAGUAAUGUCGGGGACUCUAACGAGACUGCCCGCGUAAGCGGAGAGGAAGGUGGGGACGACGUCAAAUCAUCAUGGCCUUUAUGCCUAGGGCUACACACGUGCUACAAUGGCAGGUACAGAGGUUGCGAAGGGGUGACCUGGAGCUAAUCUCAGAAAGCCUGUCCCAGUUCGGAUUGGAGU